This 1125-nucleotide long non-coding RNA is filed under the name Homo sapiens (human). RNAcentral describes it as "HSALNT0264950". The record is from RNAcentral. Lineage: Eukaryota; Metazoa; Chordata; Mammalia; Primates; Hominidae.
CUCAGUAAUGCCUCUUGUUUUUUUCACUUUUUAAAUAUAGGCAUGGAAUCUUUCUGUUUAUCAGAAAUCAUAAGUGUUUCUCAUUGCACCCAGCCCCUUCUCUUUGCCUGGAUAGGUAAAGGCAACUCUUAGCCUCUUAGAACCUUACAACAUUAUAUACAGGUUACCCCAUGCUAGAACAAUCUCUACAAAAGUAACCAAAGACUGUAGUAAAAUUUCAGUUUUAUGAGCUAAAGGAAAAGACUGAUGGCUGCUCAGGUUAAGAGGCUGGAAGGUGGACAGUUUGUGCUGUCACAGAUGGAAUGGCUCCAGGCAAGCCCACGUGUGUGAAGGGCAGCUCAGCCUUCCUCUGUAGCCUUGCUGCUCAUAUAAGGUGGAAUUUUAUUGCAGGUGACCUCAGAGCAUAGGUCUGGAAGGCCACUGGCCCAAGCAUGGAGACAAAGUCCACCUGGAAACUCAGAAGACCCAACAUUCUAUCCAGCAGAGCAGGUUCCAGGUGCAUCACAUGUGAAUCCCCUCAGCCCUUGGGACAGCCAGAGCUCCUAGGAGUUUGUCCCCAUUGGGUGCAGUCAGUAAUGUGCUGAUAAAUGACCACAGACUGGGGGUGAGGUGGGGAGAGGGGGAGCAGUAAACCAAGCCCCUGAUGUGUAGUGUUUGCUGAUUUUCAUGGUGAAAUACUGUUACUAUGGCAAAUUUUCUUUUUCUUUUUUCUUUUUUUUUUUUGAAACAGAGUUUCCCUCUUGUCACCCAGGGUGGAGUGCAAUGGCACAAUCUCGGCUCACUGCAACCUCCGCCUCCUGGGUUCAAGUGAUUCUCCUGCCUCAGCCUCCCAAGUAGCUGGGAUUACAGGCGUGUAAUCCCACCACGACCACCACGCCCAGCUAAUUUUUGUAUUUUUUUUUUUUUUUUUUUUUGAGACAGAGUCUCGCACUGCCGCCCAGGCUGGAGUGCAGUGGCGCAGUCUUGGUUCACUGCAAGCUCCACUUCCCAGGUUCAUGCCAUUCCCCUGCCUCAACCUCCUGAGUAGCUGGGACUACAGGCGCCCGCCCCAUUCCCGGCUAAUUUUUUGUAUUUUUAGUAGAGACGGGGUUUCACCGUGUUAGCCAGGAUGGCCUUGAUCUCCUG